UCCCUUGUAGCUCAGUUGGUAAAGAAUCUGCCUGUAGUGCAGGAGACCCUUGUUCGAUUCCUGGCUUGGGAA
RNAcentral lists this transfer RNA (72 nucleotides) under Ovis aries (sheep). It matches the Rfam family "tRNA". From Rfam's summary of the family: Transfer RNA (tRNA) molecules are approximately 80 nucleotides in length. Lineage: Eukaryota; Metazoa; Chordata; Mammalia; Artiodactyla; Bovidae. The record is from Rfam by way of RNAcentral.